ACUAACAAGGAUUCCCCUAGUAACUGCGAGUGAAGCGGGAAAAGCUCAAAUUUAAAAUCUGGCGGUCUUUGGCCGUCCGAGUUGUAAUCUAGAGAAGUAAUGCCCGUGCUGGACCGUGUAUAAGUCUCCUGGGAUGGGGCGUCAUAGAGGGUGAGAAUCCCGUCUUUGACACGGACUACCAGUGCAUUGUGGUAUGCUCUCAAAGAGUCGAGUUGUUUGGGAAUGCAGCUCAAAAUGGGUGGUAAAUUCCAUCUAAAGCUAAAUAUUGGCGAGAGACCGAUAGCGAACAAGUACCGUGAGGGAAAGAUGAAAAGAACUUUGGAAAGAGAGUUAAACAGUACGUGAAAUUGCUGAAAGGGAAACGCUUGAAGUCAGUCGCGUUGGCCAGGGAUCAGCCUUGCUUUUGCAUGGUGUACUUUCUGGUUGACGGGUCAGCAUCAAUUUUGACUGCUGGAAAAGGGCCUGGGGAAUGUGGCAGCUUCGGCUGUGUUAUAGCCCCUGGUCACAUACAGCGGUUGGGAUUGAGGAACUCAGCACGCCGCAAGGCCGGGUUUCGACCACGUUCGUGCUUAGGAUGCUGGCAUAAUGGCUUUAAGCGACCCGUCUUGAAACACGGACCAAGGAGUCUAACAUGCCUGCGAGUAUUUGGGUGAAAAACCCGGGUGCGCAAUGAAAGUGAAAGUUGAGAUCCCUGUCAUGGGGAGCAUCGACGCCCGGACCAGAACUUUUGGGACGGAUCCGCGGUGGAGCAUGUAUGUUGGGACCCGAAAGAUGGUGAACUAUGCCUGAAUAGGGUGAAGCCAGAGGAAACUCUGGUGGAGGCUCGUAGCGAUUCUGACGUGCAAAUCGAUCGUCAAAUUUGGGUAUAGGGGCGAAAGACUAAUCG
Molecule: ribosomal RNA, 886 nt
Filed under: Agaricus daliensis
Lineage: Eukaryota; Fungi; Basidiomycota; Agaricomycetes; Agaricales; Agaricaceae
Description: eukaryotic LSU rRNA
Rfam family: Eukaryotic large subunit ribosomal RNA
Source: RNAcentral